Long non-coding RNA from Daphnia magna, 343 nucleotides. RefSeq lists it as uncharacterized. The transcript is spliced from 2 exons. The record is from RefSeq and is a predicted model, not a curated record. NCBI's taxonomy places the organism in Eukaryota, Metazoa, Arthropoda, Branchiopoda, Diplostraca, Daphniidae.
CAAAAUACUUGACAGUUUCAUCGUGGGUUUCCGAAUACCAAAAGUUAAUGCACGUUGUACACCUUCUAAUAAAGAGAAACAACAAAGAAGAAGAGUGGCUUGACUUAAGGUGCAGAAGUUGAAUUUAUAUUUGCCACCUAAUUUGGAGAUUUUAGUUUUUGGGAAGCAUUUCAUAAAUGGGAAACCUAGCAAUAAUGCAGACGAGACUCAUCCAGAUUGGUUACCCAGUAUUGAUGUUGGUGGACAAACUUCAACCAAAACAAGUAGUAGAUACAUACGGAGGCAAAAAAGAGAUUUGUUGAAAACUUGUAUUGGUGAAAAAAUGACACCGGACUUAAUACAG